This 530-nucleotide transfer RNA is filed under the name Pseudomonas sp. W125. RNAcentral's name for it is "partial 16S-23S ribosomal RNA intergenic spacer". The stretch from base 113 to 186 matches the Rfam family "tRNA". Lineage: Bacteria; Pseudomonadati; Pseudomonadota; Gammaproteobacteria; Pseudomonadales; Pseudomonadaceae. The record is from RNAcentral.
GUAACAAGGUAGCCGUAGGGGAAAUUCGCGGCUGGAUCACCUCCUUAAUCGACGACGGCAGCUGCUCCAUGAGCUCCCACACGAAUUGCUUGAUUCAUUGAAGAAGACGAUUGGGUCUGUAGCUCAGUUGGUUAGAGCGCACCCCUGAUAAGGGUGAGGUCGGCAGUUCGAAUCUGCCCAGACCCACCAAUUUCAUGGUGUACCCUGUAGCGAUACGGGGCCAUAGCUCAGCUGGGAGAGCGCCUGCCUUGCACGCAGGAGGUCAGCGGUUCGAUCCCGCUUGGCUCCACCAUUACAGAUUGGCACCAUCGUUUAAAGCUUAGAAAUGAGCAUUCCGCCCCAAGGUGAUGAAUGUUGAUUUCUAGUCUUUGGAUUAGAUCGUUCUUUAAAAAUUUGGGUAUGUGAUAGAAAGAUAGACUGGACGUUACUUUCACUGGUAACGGCUCAGGCUAAGGUAAAAUUUGUGAGUUUAAUCGCGAAUUUUCGGCGAAUGUCGUCUUCACAGUAUAACCAGAUUGCUUGGGGUUAUA